Molecule: ribosomal RNA, 423 nt
Filed under: Dendropsophus cf. mathiassoni ABGD cluster 82
Lineage: Eukaryota; Metazoa; Chordata; Amphibia; Anura; Hylidae
Description: partial large subunit ribosomal RNA
Rfam family: Bacterial large subunit ribosomal RNA
Source: RNAcentral
CUUGACAUACAUAAGAGGUCCAGCCUGCCCAGUGACUAAGUUCAACGGCCGCGGUAUCCUAACCGUGCGAAGGUAGCGUAAUCACUUGUUCUUUAAAUGAGGACUAGUAUGAAUGGCACCACGAGGGUUAUACUGUCUCCUUUUUUUAAUCAAUGAAACUGAUCUCCCCGUGAAGAAGCGGGGAUAAAUUUAUAAGACGAGAAGACCCUAUGGAGCUUUAAACAAUUAUAGCACUGGCCCACACCUCUUAUUCUUCUGAGAUAUAAUUAUCAUACAGGCCAACAUGACUAUUAGUUUUAGGUUGGGGUGACCGCGGAGCAAAAAUUAACCUCCACGUUGAACGGAGCUACUCCUGAGCUAAAAACUACAACUUUAAGCACCAAUAAACUGACAUCAAUUGACCCAAUAUAUUGAACAACGAAC